This 98-nucleotide ribosomal RNA is filed under the name Escherichia coli. Lineage: Bacteria; Pseudomonadati; Pseudomonadota; Gammaproteobacteria; Enterobacterales; Enterobacteriaceae. The record is from RNAcentral.
GUGGGGGGGGGGCCCCCCUGCCCCCAUGCCGAACUCAGAAGUGAAACGCCGUAGCGCCGAUGGUAGUGUGGGGUCUCCCCAUGCGAGAGUAGGGAACU